GAUCCUGGCUCAGGAUGAACGCUGGCUACAGGCUUAACACAUGCAAGUCGUGGGGAAACGGCAUUAUGUGCUUGCACAUUCUGGACGUCGACCGGCGCACGGGUGAGUAUCGCGUAUCCAACCUGCCCCUUACUUGGGGAUACCCCGUUGAAAGACGGCCUAAUACCCGAUGUGUUUCAUUGACGGCAUCCGAUAUGAAACAAAGGUUUUCCGGUAAGGGAUGGGGAUGCGUCUGAUUAGCUUGUUGGCGGGG
This 253-nucleotide ribosomal RNA is filed under the name uncultured bacterium. RNAcentral's name for it is "partial 16S ribosomal RNA". It matches the Rfam family "Bacterial small subunit ribosomal RNA", at positions 15 to 257 of the family's 1533-position model. The record is from RNAcentral.